GUCAGUGUAGCUUAGUGGUUUGAGUGUUGGACUAUACCUCUGGAGACCAGGGUUCGAUUCCCAGCUUGUCC
Molecule: transfer RNA, 71 nt
Filed under: Phrynosoma platyrhinos (Desert horned lizard)
Lineage: Eukaryota; Metazoa; Chordata; Lepidosauria; Squamata; Phrynosomatidae
Description: tRNA-OTHER
Source: RNAcentral